CCUACGGGAGGCUGCAGUGGGGGAUAUUGCACAAUGGGCGGAACCCUGAUGCAGCGACGCCGCGUGGAGGAAGAAACGCCUCUGCGCGUUAAGCCCUGUCAGCAGGGAAGAAAAUGACGGUACCUGAAGAGGAAGCCCCGGCUAACUACGUGCCAACAGCCGCGGUAAAACGUAGGGGGCAAGCGUUAUCCGGAUUUACGGGGGGUAAAGGGGGCGCAGACGGCGAUGCAAGCCAGGAGUGAAAGCCCGGGGCCCAACCCCGGGACUGCUCUUGGAACUGUGUGGCUGGAGUGCAGGAGGGGCAGGCGGAAUUCCUGGUGUAGCGGUGAAAUGCGUAGAUAUCAGGAAGAACACCGGUGGCGAAGGCGGCCUGCUGGACUGCAACUGACGUUGAGGCCCGAAAGCGUGGGGAGCAAACAGGAUUAGAUACCCUAGUAGUC
This 440-nucleotide ribosomal RNA is filed under the name uncultured bacterium. RNAcentral describes it as "partial 16S ribosomal RNA". It matches the Rfam family "Bacterial small subunit ribosomal RNA", at positions 338 to 795 of the family's 1533-position model. The record is from RNAcentral.